This 74-nucleotide non-coding RNA is filed under the name Neobacillus massiliamazoniensis. RNAcentral describes it as "Bacillus sp. LF1 Bacterial small subunit ribosomal RNA". It matches the Rfam family "Bacterial small subunit ribosomal RNA", at positions 1 to 74 of the family's 1533-position model. The record is from Rfam by way of RNAcentral. Lineage: Bacteria; Bacillati; Bacillota; Bacilli; Caryophanales; Bacillaceae.
UUCUUGGAGAGUUUGAUCCUGGCUCAGGACGAACGCUGGCGGCGUGCCUAAUACAUGCAAGUCGAGCGAAUCUU